RNAcentral lists this transfer RNA (60 nucleotides) under Chlorocebus sabaeus (green monkey). It matches the Rfam family "tRNA", at positions 7 to 64 of the family's 71-position model. Rfam says of the family: Transfer RNA (tRNA) molecules are approximately 80 nucleotides in length. Their secondary structure includes four short double-helical elements and three loops (D, anti-codon, and T loops). Further hydrogen bonds mediate the characteristic L-shaped molecular structure. tRNAs have two regions of fundamental functional importance: the anti-codon, which is responsible for specific mRNA codon recognition, and the 3' end, to which the tRNAs corresponding amino acid is attached (by aminoacyl-tRNA synthetases). tRNAs cope with the degeneracy of the genetic code in two manners: having more than one tRNA (with a specific anti-codon) for a particular amino acid; and 'wobble' base-pairing, i.e. permitting non-standard base-pairing at the 3rd anti-codon position. RNAcentral also lists the same sequence under 2 other names. The record is from Rfam by way of RNAcentral. Lineage: Eukaryota; Metazoa; Chordata; Mammalia; Primates; Cercopithecidae.
AUAGCUCAGUUGGUAGAGCAUCGGACUUUUAAUCUGAGGGUCCAGGGUUCAUGUUCCUGU